UACGAGGGGGGCGAGCGUUGUUCGGAAUUAUUGGGCGGAAAGGGUACGUAGGCGGUUUGGUAAGUCUGAUGUGAAAUCUAUGGGCUCAACUCAUAGUCUGCAUCGGAAACUGCCGGGCUUGAGUGUGGGAGAGGUGAGUGGAAUUCCUGGUGUAGCGGUGAAAUGCGUAGAUAUCAGGAGGAACACCUGUGGCGAAAGCGGCUCACUGGACCAUAACUGACGCUGAUGCACGAAAGCUAGGGGAGCAAACAGG
This 253-nucleotide ribosomal RNA is filed under the name uncultured bacterium. RNAcentral's name for it is "partial 16S ribosomal RNA". It matches the Rfam family "Bacterial small subunit ribosomal RNA", at positions 524 to 776 of the family's 1533-position model. The record is from RNAcentral.